This 538-nucleotide ribosomal RNA is filed under the name Paenibacillaceae bacterium C29. Its description in RNAcentral is "partial 16S ribosomal RNA". It matches the Rfam family "Bacterial small subunit ribosomal RNA", at positions 1 to 522 of the family's 1533-position model. The record is from RNAcentral. Lineage: Bacteria; Bacillati; Bacillota; Bacilli; Caryophanales; Paenibacillaceae.
UGGAGAGUUUGAUCCUGGCUCAGGACGAACGCUGGCGGCAUGCCUAAUACAUGCAAGUCGAGCGGASUUGAWRRGAAGCUUGCUUCYYUGAURSUUAGCGGCGGACGGGUGAGUAACACGUAGGCAACCUGCCCUCAAGUUUGGGACAACUACCGGAAACGGUAGCUAAUACCGAAUARUUGUUUUCUUCGCCUGAAGRRRACUGGAAAGACGGAGCAAUCUGUCACUUGGGGAUGGGCCUGCGGCGCAUUAGCUAGUUGGUGAGGUAACGGCUCACCAAGGCGACGAUGCGUAGCCGACCUGAGAGGGUGAUCGGCCACACUGGGACUGAGACACGGCCCAGACUCCUACGGGAGGCAGCAGUAGGGAAUCUUCCGCAAUGGGCGAAAGCCUGACGGAGCAAUGCCGCGUGAGUGAUGAAGGUUUUCGGAUCGUAAAGCUCUGUUGCCAGGGAAGAACGCUUGGGAGAGUAACUGCUCUCAAGGUGACGGUACCUGAGAAGAAAGCCCCGGCUAACUACGUGCCAGCAGCCGCGGUA